UUCGCAAUGCCCGAAAGGGUGACGAAGCGACGCCGCGUGGGUGAGGAAGGCCUUCGGGUUGUAAAGCCCUGUCAGGAGUUAAGAAAUGUAGACUCGCUAAUAUCGGGUCUAUUUGACAAAGGCUCCAAAGGAAGCCACGGCUAACUCUGCGCCAGCAGCCGCGGUAAUACAGAGGUGGCAAGCGUUGUUCGGAAUUAUUGGGCGUAAAGAGCACGUAGGUGGAUUUGUAAGUCAGACGUGAAAGCCUUCUGUUCAACGGAAGAAUUGCAUCUGAAACUACAAACCUUGAGUGUAGGAGGGGAGAAUGGAACUUCUGGUGGAGCGGUGAAAUGCGUAGAUAUCAGAAGGAACGCCGGCGGCGAAAGCGAUUCUCUGGCCUAUUACUGACACUCAGUGUGCGAAAGCUAGGGGAGCAAACGGGAUUAGAUACCCCGGUAGUCCUAGCCGUAAACGAUGGGCACUAAGUAGAGGGGUUUUA
This 478-nucleotide ribosomal RNA is filed under the name uncultured bacterium. RNAcentral's name for it is "bacterial SSU rRNA". It matches the Rfam family "Bacterial small subunit ribosomal RNA", at positions 365 to 833 of the family's 1533-position model. The record is from RNAcentral.